RNAcentral lists this ribosomal RNA (169 nucleotides) under Parkraemeria saltator. RNAcentral describes it as "partial 12S rRNA". Lineage: Eukaryota; Metazoa; Chordata; Actinopteri; Gobiiformes; Gobiidae. The record is from RNAcentral.
CACCGCGGUUAUACGAGCAGGCCUAAACUGAUAGAAUCCGGCGCAAAGGGUGGUUAACGGCCCCGACAUACUAGAACCGAACACCCUCAUGGCUGUUAUACGCAUCCGAGGUGUAGAAAAACCUUUACGAAAGUAGUUCUAUAAAUGUGACCCCACGAAAGCUAGGAAA